Molecule: ribosomal RNA, 253 nt
Filed under: uncultured bacterium
Lineage: Bacteria
Description: partial 16S ribosomal RNA
Rfam family: Bacterial small subunit ribosomal RNA
Source: RNAcentral
UACGAAGGGGGCUAGCGUUGCUCGGAAUCACUGGGGGUAAAGGGCAGGUAGGCGGUUUGUUAAGUCAGGGGGGAAAUCCUGGAGCUCAACUCCAGAACUGCCUUUGAUACUGGCGAUCUUGAGUCCGGGAGAGGUGAGUGGAACUGCGAGUGUAGAGGUGAAAUUCGUAGAUAUUCGCAAGAACACCAGUGGCGAAGGCGGCUCACUGGCCCGGUACUGACGCUGAGGUGCGAAAGCGUGGGGAGCAAACAGG